Molecule: ribosomal RNA, 154 nt
Filed under: uncultured Bacteroidota bacterium
Lineage: Bacteria; Pseudomonadati; Bacteroidota
Description: uncultured Bacteroidetes bacterium partial 16S ribosomal RNA
Rfam family: Bacterial small subunit ribosomal RNA
Source: RNAcentral
GGAGGCCCGCAUGGGAUAUUUGCUAAAGAUUCAUCGCUGAUAGAUAGGCAUGCGUUCCAUUAGGCAGUUGGCGGGGUAACGGCCCACCAAACCGACGAUGGAUAGGGGUUCUGAGAGGAAGGUCCCCCACAUUGGUACUGAGACACGGACCAAA